RNAcentral lists this ribosomal RNA (452 nucleotides) under uncultured bacterium. RNAcentral's name for it is "bacterial SSU rRNA". It matches the Rfam family "Bacterial small subunit ribosomal RNA", at positions 21 to 464 of the family's 1533-position model. The record is from RNAcentral.
GGCUCAGGACGAACGCAGGCGGCGUGCAUAAUACAUGCAAGUUGAGCGCUGAAGGUUGGUACUCAUACCGACUGGUGAGCAGCGAACGGGUGAGUAACGCGUGGGGAAUCUGCCUUUGAGCGGGGGACAACAUUUGGAAACGAAUGCUAAUACCGCAUAAAAACUUUAAACCCAAGUUUUAAGUUUGAAAGAUGCAAGUGCAUCACUCAAAGAUGAUCCCGCGUUGUAUUAGGUAGUUGGUGAGGUAAAGGGUCACCAAGGCGGUGAUACAUAGCCGACCUGAGAGGGUGAUCGGCCACAAUGGGAAUGAGACCCGGCCCCAAAUCCUACGGGAGGCAGCCGUAGGGAAUUUUCGGCAAAGGAGGACAGUCUGACCGAGCAACCGCCGCCUGAGUGAAGAAGGUCUUCGGAUCGUAAAACUCUGUUGUAGAGAAGAAAGUUGAUGAGAGUGG